This 264-nucleotide ribosomal RNA is filed under the name Bradyrhizobium sp. RNAcentral's name for it is "partial 16S ribosomal RNA". It matches the Rfam family "Bacterial small subunit ribosomal RNA", at positions 46 to 334 of the family's 1533-position model. The record is from RNAcentral. Lineage: Bacteria; Pseudomonadati; Pseudomonadota; Alphaproteobacteria; Hyphomicrobiales; Nitrobacteraceae.
AGGCUUAACACAUGCAAGUCGAGCGGGUGUAGCAAUACAUCAGCGGCAGACGGGUGAGUAACGCGUGGGAACGUACCUUUUGGUUCGGAACAACACAGGGAAACUUGUGCUAAUACCGGAUAAGCCCUUACGGGGAAAGAUUUAUCGCCGAAAGAUCGGCCCGCGUCUGAUUAGCUAGUUGGUAGGGUAAUGGCCUACCAAGGCGACGAUCAGUAGCUGGUCUGAGAGGAUGAUCAGCCACAUUGGGACUGAGACACGGCCCAA